RNAcentral lists this ribosomal RNA (497 nucleotides) under uncultured bacterium. RNAcentral describes it as "partial 16S ribosomal RNA". It matches the Rfam family "Bacterial small subunit ribosomal RNA", at positions 28 to 507 of the family's 1533-position model. The record is from RNAcentral.
GAUGAACGCUGGCGGCGUGCCUAAUACAUGCAAGUCGAGCGGACGGACGAGAAGCUUGCUUUUCUGAUGUUAGCGGCGGACGGGUGAGUAACACGUGGAUAACCUACCUAUAAGACUGGGAUAACUUCGGGAAACCGGAGCUAAUACCGGAUAAUAUUUUGAACCGCAUGGUUCAAAAGUGAAAGACGGUCUUGCUGUCACUUAUAGAUGGAUCCGCGCUGCAUUAGCUAGUUGGUAAGGUAACGGCUUUCCAAGGCAACGAUGCAUAGCCGACCUGAGAGGGUGAUCGGCCACACUGGAACUGAGACACGGUCCAGACUCCUACGGGAGGCAGCAGUAGGGAAUCUUCCGCAAUGGGCGAAAGCCUGACGGAGCAACGCCGCGUGAGUGAUGAAGGUCUUCGGAUCGUAAAACUCUGUUAUUAGGGAAGAACAUAUGUGUAAGUAACUGUGCACAUCUUGACGGUACCUAAUCAGAAAGCCACGGCUAACUACGUG